RNAcentral lists this ribosomal RNA (812 nucleotides) under uncultured bacterium. RNAcentral's name for it is "bacterial SSU rRNA". It matches the Rfam family "Bacterial small subunit ribosomal RNA", at positions 545 to 1353 of the family's 1533-position model. The record is from RNAcentral.
CCGGAUUUAUUGGGUUUAAAGGGUGCGCAGGCGGGGAAUCAAGUCAGCGGUGAAAUUCUGCGGCUCAACCGCAAAACUGCCGUUGAUACUGGUUCUCUUGAGUGUAUUUGAAGUGGGUGGAAUGUGUGGUGUAGCGGUGAAAUGCUUAGAUAUGACAAAGAACUCCAAUUGCGAAGGCAGCUCACUGGGCUAUAACUGACGCUCAUGCACGAAAGCGUGGGGAUCAAACAGGAUUAGAUACCCUGGUAGUCCACGCUGUAAACGAUGAUUACUCGAUGUUGGCGAUAUACUGCCAGCGUCUCAGCGAAAGCGUUAAGUAUUCCACCUGGGGAGUACGAUCGCAAGGUUGAAACUCAAAGGAAUUGACGGGGGCCCGCACAAGCGGAGGAACAUGUGGUUUAAUUCGAUGAUACGCGAGGAACCUUACCUGGGCUUGAAUGGCAUCCGUCUACAGAAGAUGUCUGCUAACUUGUAGAUGAAAAUUGCAAGGUGCUGCAUGGCUGUCGUCAGCUCGUGCCGUGAGGUGUCGGCUUAAGUGCCAUAACGAGCGCAACCCUCAUCGUUAGUUGCUAAUCAGGUCAUGCUGAGCACUCUAAUGAGACUGCCUGACGCAAGUCUGUGAGGAAGGUGGGGGAUGACGUCAGUCAGCACGGGCCCUUUACGUCCAGGGCUACACACGUGCUACAAUGGGCGGGUACAGACAGGCAGCUACAAUGUGACUGCAUGCAAAUCUCUCAAACCCGGCUCUCAGUUCGGAUCGAAGUCUGCACUCGACUCGUGAGCUUGGAAUUCGCUAGUAAUCGCAUAUCAGC